RNAcentral lists this ribosomal RNA (319 nucleotides) under uncultured bacterium. RNAcentral's name for it is "bacterial SSU rRNA". It matches the Rfam family "Bacterial small subunit ribosomal RNA", at positions 1190 to 1510 of the family's 1533-position model. The record is from RNAcentral.
UCAUCAUUCCCUUUAUGCCCUGGCUACACACGUGCUACAACGGAAGGUACAAAGGGGAGCAAGAUAGUGAUAUUAAGCAAACCUCAAAAAGCCUUUCUCAGUUCGGAUUGUACUCUGCAACUCGAGUACAUGAAGAUGGAGUUGCUAGUAAUCGCAGAUCAGAAUGCUGCGGGGAAUGCGUUCCCGGGUCUUGUACACACCGCCCGUCACACCAUGGGAGCUUGUAAUACCCGAAGCCUGUGAGCAAACCGCAAGUAGCAGCAGUCGAAGGUAGGAUAAGUGACUGGGGUGAAGUCGUAACAAGGUAGCCGUAUCGGAA